Small nuclear RNA from Marmota marmota marmota (Alpine marmot), 107 nucleotides. The record is from Ensembl. Lineage: Eukaryota; Metazoa; Chordata; Mammalia; Rodentia; Sciuridae.
GUGCUUGCUUGGGCAGCACAUACACUAAAAUUAGAACAAUACAGGGAAGAUCAGCAUGAUCCCUGUGAAAGAAUAACACACAAAUUUGUGAAGCAUUCCAUAUUUUU